This is a long non-coding RNA of Grus americana (Whooping crane), 2079 nucleotides long. RefSeq lists it as uncharacterized. The transcript has 3 exons. NCBI's taxonomy places the organism in Eukaryota, Metazoa, Chordata, Aves, Gruiformes, Gruidae. The record is from RefSeq and is a predicted model, not a curated record.
CCGUCCAUCCCUGGAAACGCGGCGAGCCAGAGCGGCGCGGUACCGGGCUCCGGAGAGGAGGGGAAGGCGGAAAACCCCCCAAAAGCGAGGAGCGGCUUUUCCGCUCCCCCGCCGCGGAAGCAGGAGCUGCUGUUCUCAGGGACGGAGCGAGGGCUUGCACUGACACGUGCUGAAUGAAUCGUGGUUAAUUUACCCCUUUGUUUUGCGGUGAGGAUGCGCUUGCGGCUGGCAGGUUUGACGGGGGCAUGCUCUGGUCCCGCUCCUGGCUGUGUCACAGUCUCCCUCUCUGACGAAGAGACACUUCACCCGCCUGUGGAGUCAGUUUUCCAACUUUGAAGACAUAGCAAUACCUUACUGAUGAGCGUCUCACUGAAGUGAUGGCGAGGUGUCUGGAUAUAUGGGGGAUAGCUGAAAGUUGCUACAACCACCAAAAUCUUCAGCAAGUUGAUUUGCAGCAUUGGUCUUUGGAGGAUUAAAGAAAUGAUACUGCAAUUGCAUCCACUGUGGUCUGAGUCACACCACUAGUAUACCUUACAAUGCUCUUCAUCUACGUUGUUUAACCUGGCUGACAGAUUUAGAUCUAUAAAUGCCACACAAUUUAGGACUUGGAAGGAAAAGGAAGGAGGAUGAAUUGGAAACAUUUUCAGCAAAGGAAGAACAAUUUAUGUCAAUGGCGAGCUUUCAUAUGCACCUCCUGUACUGCCAGCAUGGGAAUCUGCAAUCAGGUAUGAACAACUGUGAGAACACAGCAGUUAAUUUCAAUCUUAGUGAUCUCAUCAGAAUUGUGAAUGCAAAAGCUAACAAGGCAAUUAUAAAUUAGUCCUUGAUACAUGCACAAUUUGUGAAAAUGCAUAUUCCCCUAGGUCACACAGGCCCUGCAGUCAUGCUGCACAGAAGCUCUCACUGGUUCAAUGGAAAGCUGUAUUUGUAUGUGUAAGGGCAGCAGAGCGAAGUCAUCAGUUCAAGGUGUAAAUAUAUUUGUCACACAGGGAGUCACAGAAGAAAAGAAGUACAUAGGUGAACAGCUAAGCUCUGACUGUGGAUGCAAGACUGAGAUCCUAGCAUGGUACUGAUAUGAAGCAAAAUCCAGGAAAAUUGAAGUGGUAAGGGGUAAUUUCCUUUCAAUCCAUGGAUACAUAGCGUGCAAAAGACUUCAAAAAGAAUAAAUGACCUGUACGUAGUGAAUAACUCUGCUUAUAUAUUCUCCCUUGUGUAUAACACAGGUAACUUUCUUUAAAAUCAUUGGCAUUCAACCUAGUUGUGCAGAGAGGAGGUGCUAAAUAAAGCAUCUAUGAGAAGUUAGCAUCAGCAUCUGUAAUAAACACCAUCUAAUGAUAUGAGAGAAAGAGUGAGGGCAUCCAAAGUAUUCUAGUGUAUUCCUGGGCAUCAUUUGAGAAAACUAUAGAAUAAUUUCUGGAAUAAAACAAAACUUAAAAAGCUUGGAAUCAGCCUGUGAAAUCCUCAGGAAGGUAUUUUAUCUAUAGGGUUGUGCUUGCAAGAGAAAGUCAUCUUGGAGAUGGUGGAGGAGGUUGUGUUUGUGUGUGUAAGCAGCAAGCAUUCUGUUCACUACAUGUUCACUAAGCUUUUCUGAAAGCACCAUUUCCAGGGGAAGUCUCUGUUGUAAUGAAAUCGCCUUCUCCAAGCCUGCCUGCCAGCUCUUUACAAAUCCUUUCCAUGUUGAUGCGCUUAAGCCCUCUGCUUUUGAUGGUCUUUUCCCUGUUGUAUUCAUGCAUGUUAUUUGUGCUUUGGUUCAUACUGAUCUGUAGCAGAUGGGGAAGCAGAGAGCAGAAGGAAUUUUUCCUACUUUAAGUGUCCCUGAAGGUGAAAAUAUCUGCCCUGGGCUUCACUACUUGGACGGAAAAUGUGGCUUCUGAUGACAAUGUACACAAGAAGGUGGUGCUGGACUGUGACUCUAUUCCAUUACAAAACAGCAGGUAACGAAAAACACUGGAUCUUGGGAAUAAACCACCUUUGUCACAUGACAGAAGAGGGCUGACUGGUCCUGAAGAGGAAAGCUGAAGAGUAGCACUUCAACUGCUUUUACAAUCACAUUUCUGUAUCUCUUUAAUUGUCUUAUUA